UGUUGGUGAUUUCUUGUUAGCUAUCUUAGUUAUUCUCUUUGUUGUCUUGCAGGUGUUGUCUUUUUACCUGCAUUCUCUUUAAAGUUUCAUUUUGAGACCAUACUUAGCCUAGUUGUUAGGUUGGAGGCAUGUUCUGUCCUUAUUACUACCUUUAUAUUCCUAUGUUAGAAUUUCAGGAGGUGUAGUUCCACAUGUUUGCAGAACAUAAUCUCCAUAACUACUUUCCAGCUUGUUCAAACAUGCUCCAAUAAAUGAGAAUGAUGCUAGGUAAAAUACUUUUGUCUGAUGAGCUUCCAUCUUUUAUUUCUUAAUUUGUGUAAGAACUGAUUGGUCUCCUUUCCUU
RNAcentral lists this long non-coding RNA (343 nucleotides) under Elaeis guineensis (African oil palm). RNAcentral describes it as "long non-coding RNA (EGUI_LNC075281)". The record is from RNAcentral. Lineage: Eukaryota; Viridiplantae; Streptophyta; Magnoliopsida; Arecales; Arecaceae.